RNAcentral lists this ribosomal RNA (229 nucleotides) under uncultured bacterium. RNAcentral describes it as "partial 16S ribosomal RNA". It matches the Rfam family "Bacterial small subunit ribosomal RNA", at positions 978 to 1208 of the family's 1533-position model. The record is from RNAcentral.
UACCCUUGACAUGCCACUAACGAAGCAGAGAUGCAUUAGGUGCUCGAAAGAGAAAGUGGACACAGGUGCUGCAUGGCUGUCGUCAGCUCGUGUCGUGAGAUGUUGGGUUAAGUCCCGCAACGAGCGCAACCCUUGUCUCUAGUUGCUACGAAAGGGCACUCUAGAGAGACUGCCGGUGACAACCGGAGGAAGGUGGGGAUGACGUCAAGUCCUCAUGGCCCUUAUGGGG